This 301-nucleotide ribosomal RNA is filed under the name uncultured bacterium. Its description in RNAcentral is "partial 16S ribosomal RNA". It matches the Rfam family "Bacterial small subunit ribosomal RNA", at positions 509 to 807 of the family's 1533-position model. The record is from RNAcentral.
CAGUCGCCGCGGGAAAACAGAGGGUGCAAGCGUUAAUCGGAAUUACUGGGCGUAAAGCGCGCGUAGGUGGUUUGUUAAGUUGGAUGUGAAAGCCCCGGGCUCAACCUGGGAAAUGCAUCCAAAACUGGCAAGCUAGAGUACGGUAGAGGGUGGUGGAAUUUCCUGUGUAGCGGUGAAAUGCGUAGAUAUAGGAAGGAACACCAGUGGCGAAGGCGACCACCUGGACUGAUACUGACACUGAGGUGCGAAAGCGUGGGGAGCAAACAGGAUUAGAUACCCGAGUAGUCCCUGUCUCUUAUAC